RNAcentral lists this ribosomal RNA (433 nucleotides) under uncultured bacterium. Its description in RNAcentral is "partial 16S ribosomal RNA". It matches the Rfam family "Bacterial small subunit ribosomal RNA", at positions 29 to 507 of the family's 1533-position model. The record is from RNAcentral.
AACGAACGCUGGCGGCAUGCCUAACACAUGCAAGUCGAACGAGACCUUCGGGUCUAGUGGCGCACGGGUGCGUAACGCGUGGGAACCUGCCCUUAGGUUCGGAAUAACUCCCCGAAAGGGGUGCUAAUACCGGAUAAUUUCUUCGGACCAAAGAUUUAUCGCCUUUGGAUGGGCCCGCGUUGGAUUAGCUAGUUGGUAGGGUAAAAGCCUACCAAGGCGACGAUCCAUAGCUGGUCUGAGAGGAUGAUCAGCCACACUGGGACUGAGACACGGCCCAGACUCCUACGGGAGGCAGCAGUGGGGAAUAUUGGACAAUGGGCGAAAGCCUGAUCCAGCAAUGCCGGGUGAGUGAUGAAGGCCUUAGGGUUGUAAAGCUCUUUUACCCGGGAUGAUAAUGACGGUACCGGGAGAAUAAGCUCCGGCUAACUCCGUG